GGCUGGUCCGAAGGUAGUGAGUUAUCUCAACUGAUUGUUCACGGUCAGUUACAGAUCGAACUCCUUGUUCUACUCUUUCCCCCCUUCUCACUACUGCACUUGACUAGUCUUUU
Unclassified non-coding RNA from Aotus nancymaae (Ma's night monkey), 113 nucleotides. It matches the Rfam family "Y RNA". From Rfam's summary of the family: Y RNAs are components of the Ro ribonucleoprotein particle (Ro RNP), in association with Ro60 and La proteins. The Y RNAs and Ro60 and La proteins are well conserved, but the function of the Ro RNP is not known. The record is from Ensembl. Lineage: Eukaryota; Metazoa; Chordata; Mammalia; Primates; Aotidae.